This 384-nucleotide long non-coding RNA is filed under the name Brassica napus (rape). Its description in RNAcentral is "long non-coding RNA (BNAP_LNC016512)". The record is from RNAcentral. Lineage: Eukaryota; Viridiplantae; Streptophyta; Magnoliopsida; Brassicales; Brassicaceae.
UACCAAACCUCUUCACCUUGACCUAAAUUGCUUUCCCGAUUUGCUUAUGUCAUCACCCAAUGCGGACAAGGUUUUUAAUUUUGUACCUAUCUUCAUACACAUAUAAAAAGGUAAUGCAGUUUCGUACAUGUUCAAGUAAACAAAUGAUGAUUUAUUGAAUAAUACAUACACGCAGAAGAUGAUUGGGCGUUAUUUCCACGUAAUUCAAAGUUAAAUCACCAUAACACGACAAAGUGGCGAAUCGUGGCAGGAUCCACAAGCAAUAUUUAGUAGGUGUCAAGGGUACAAUAGAAAAUUCAUGUUGAGCUCAAUAAUUCAGAUUCAUGAUCACAAAUCCACAAUAUAUAAAGACCUACGACCGUGAACUUUGAAUAUCAAACACAC